Molecule: ribosomal RNA, 495 nt
Filed under: uncultured bacterium
Lineage: Bacteria
Description: bacterial SSU rRNA
Rfam family: Bacterial small subunit ribosomal RNA
Source: RNAcentral
UACAUGCAAGUCGAACGCACUCUCGUUUAGAUUGAAGGAGCUUGCUCCUGAUUGAUAAACAUUUGAGUGAGUGGCGGACGGGUGAGUAACACGUGGGUAACCUGCCCUAAAGUGGGGGAUAACAUUUGGAAACAGAUGCUAAUACCGCAUAAAACCUAACACCGCAUGGUGUAGGGUUGAAAGAUGGUUUCGGCUAUCACUUUAGGAUGGACCCGCGGUGCAUUAGUUAGUUGGUGAGGUAAAGGCUCACCAAGACCGUGAUGCAUAGCCGACCUGAGAGGGUAAUCGGCCACACUGGGACUGAGACACGGCCCAGACUCCUACGGAGGCAGCAGUAGGGAAUCUUCCACAAUGGACGAAAGUCUGAUGGAGCAACGCCGCGUGAGUGAAGAAGGUUUUCGGAUCGUAAAACUCUGUUGUUGGAGAAGAAUGUAUCUGAUAGUAACUGAUCAGGUAGUGACGGUAUCCAACCAGAAAGCCACGGCUAACUACGUG